Molecule: non-coding RNA, 81 nt
Filed under: Atlantibacter hermannii NBRC 105704
Lineage: Bacteria; Pseudomonadati; Pseudomonadota; Gammaproteobacteria; Enterobacterales; Enterobacteriaceae
Description: DsrA RNA
Rfam family: DsrA RNA
About the family: DsrA RNA regulates both transcription, by overcoming transcriptional silencing by the nucleoid-associated H-NS protein, and translation, by promoting efficient translation of the stress sigma factor, RpoS.
Source: Rfam by way of RNAcentral
GUCGCAUCAGAUUUCCUGGUGUAACGAAUUUUACUUUCUUCUUGCUCAGCAAGUUUUAUCCCGGCGCCCCCGCCGGGAUAU